This 440-nucleotide ribosomal RNA is filed under the name uncultured bacterium. RNAcentral describes it as "partial 16S ribosomal RNA". It matches the Rfam family "Bacterial small subunit ribosomal RNA", at positions 338 to 795 of the family's 1533-position model. The record is from RNAcentral.
CCUACGGGCGGCAGCAGUGAGGAAUAUUGGUCAAUGGGCGGAAGCCUGACGCAGCAACGCAGCGUGAACGAGACGCCCUUCGGGGUGUAAAGUUCUGUCAGUGGGGACGAAAGAUGACGGUACCCACAGAGGAAGCACCGGCUAACGCCGUGACAGAAGCCGCGGUAAUACGGAGGGUGCCAGCGUUGUCCGGAAUCAUUGGGCGUAAAGAGUUCGUAGGCGGUAUGUUAAGUCUGGUGUUAAAUGCAGAAGCUCAACUUCUGUUCGGCACUGGAUACUGGCAAACUAGAAUGCGGUAGAGGUAAAGGGAAUUCCUGGUGUAGCGGUGAAAUGCUUAGAUAUCAGGAGGAACAUCGAUGGCGUAAGCGCUUUACUGGGCCGUAAUUGACGCUGAGGAACGAAAGCCAGGGUAGCAAAUGGGAUUAGAUACCCGGGUAGUC